This 811-nucleotide ribosomal RNA is filed under the name Streptomyces sp. RNAcentral describes it as "bacterial SSU rRNA". It matches the Rfam family "Bacterial small subunit ribosomal RNA", at positions 80 to 904 of the family's 1533-position model. The record is from RNAcentral. Lineage: Bacteria; Bacillati; Actinomycetota; Actinomycetes; Kitasatosporales; Streptomycetaceae.
CUUCGGUGGGGAUUAGUGGCGAACGGGUGAGUAACACGUGGGCAAUCUGCCCUUCACUCUGGGACAAGCCCUGGAAACGGGGUCUAAUACCGGAUAACACUUCUGCUCUCAUGGGCAGGGGUUAAAAGCUCCGGCGGUGAAGGAUGAGCCCGCGGCCUAUCAGCUUGUUGGUGAGGUAAUGGCUCACCAAGGCGACGACGGGUAGCCGGCCUGAGAGGGCGACCGGCCACACUGGGACUGAGACACGGCCCAGACUCCUACGGGAGGCAGCAGUGGGGAAUAUUGCACAAUGGGCGAAAGCCUGAUGCAGCGACGCCGCGUGAGGAUGACGGCCUUCGGGUUGUAAACCUCUUUCAGCAGGGAAGAAGCGAAAGUGACGGUACCUGCAGAAGAAGCGCCGGCUAACUACGUGCCAGCAGCCGCGGUAAUACGUAGGGCGCAAGCGUUGUCCGGAAUUAUUGGGCGUAAAGAGCUCGUAGGCGGCUUGUCACGUCGGGUGUGAAAGCCCGGGGCUUAACCCCGGGUCUGCAUUCGAUACGGGCUAGCUAGAGUGUGGUAGGGGAGAUCGGAAUUCCUGGUGUAGCGGUGAAAUGCGCAGAUAUCAGGAGGAACACCGGUGGCGAAGGCGGAUCUCUGGGCCAUUACUGACGCUGAGGAGCGAAAGCGUGGGGAGCGAACAGGAUUAGAUACCCUGGUAGUCCACGCCGUAAACGGUGGGAACUAGGUGUUGGCGACAUUCCACGUCGUCGGUGCCGCAGCUAACGCAUUAAGUUCCCCGCCUGGGGAGUACGGCCGCAAGGCUAAAACUCAA